GGUGUCCCAGUAGCAUCUGGUUUGUCCUGCCAGUAGUCAUACGCUCGUCUCAAAGAUUAAGCCAUGCAUGUGUAAGUAUAAAUAGUUAACUUUGAAACUGCGAAUGGCUCAUUAUAUCAGUUAUAGUUUAUUUGAUGAAGAAUACUAAUUGGAUAACCGUAGUAAUUCUAGAGCUAAUACAUGUAUAAAGUCUUGUAGACUGCAUUUAUUAGAAUGAAAACCAUAGGUUUCGGCCUAUUCGUGAGUAAUAAUAACUAAUCAUAUCGUAUGCUUAUGUAACGAUGUGUCUUUCAAGUUUCUGCCCUAUCAGCUUUCGAUGGUAGUGUAUUGGACUACCAUGGCAGUAACGGGUAACGAAGAAUUUGGGUUCGAUUUCGGAGAGGGAGCCUGAGAGAUGGCUACCACAUCCAAGGAAGGCAGCAGGCGCGUAAAUUACCCAAUCCUGACACAGGGAUAUAGGGACGAUCAAGCCCAUAGUGGAACACAGUGUUGCAAUUGUACCAGAACACAGGACAAACCCGAUCGAGUAGCAGCCCCGGGCAUGUUAGGUGGCAGCAGGCAUAGCAUGCGAUACCGCACUGCC
This 583-nucleotide ribosomal RNA is filed under the name Blastocystis sp. RNAcentral's name for it is "SSU rRNA". It matches the Rfam family "Eukaryotic small subunit ribosomal RNA", at positions 1 to 578 of the family's 1831-position model. The record is from RNAcentral. Lineage: Eukaryota; Bigyra; Opalinata; Blastocystidae.